This 237-nucleotide long non-coding RNA is filed under the name Mytilus galloprovincialis (Mediterranean mussel). The record is from RNAcentral. Lineage: Eukaryota; Metazoa; Mollusca; Bivalvia; Mytilida; Mytilidae.
CUGAGUUAUUCUUAUAACUAUGCAUUUUUUGGCGUUAAAACUCAUUUGCCAUUUAUUCUCAGUUUAUUGUAAAUAUAUUUAUAUCAACGGCGAUAUAUAUAACCUGGGACUAAUUACAGCAAAUUGCAUUAUGUGUGUAGGUAAAGGUAAUAUGUUUGGUUAGCUUGCUUGUUAGCUGGACCGUGCAGUGGCGGAUCCAGAAAUUUUCAUAAGUGGGGGCCCACUGACUGACCUAAG